AGUUAAUGAACUUGAAUAAGUAUAUAUUUUGAAAAUAUAAAAAAGAAAUAAAAAUUUUCUAUUAACUU
RNAcentral lists this transfer RNA (68 nucleotides) under Callosobruchus chinensis (azuki bean weevil). Its description in RNAcentral is "tRNA-Ser". The record is from RNAcentral. Lineage: Eukaryota; Metazoa; Arthropoda; Insecta; Coleoptera; Chrysomelidae.